GACGAACGCUGGCGGCGUGCCUAAUACAUGCAAGUUGAGCGCUGAAGGUUGGUACUUGUACCGACUGGAUGAGCAGCGAACGGGUGAGUAACGCGUGGGGAAUCUGCCUUUGAGCGGGGGACAACAUUUGGAAACGAAUGCUAAUACCGCAUAAAAACUUUAAACACAAGUUUUAAGUUUGAAAGAUGCAAUUGCAUCACUCAAAGAUGAUCCCGGGUUGUAUUAGCUAGUUGGUGAGGUAAAGGCUCACCAAGGCGAUGAUACAUAGCCGACCGGAGAGGGUGAUCGGCCACAUUGGGACUGGAACACGGACCAAACUCCUACGGGAGGCAGCAGUAGGGAAUCUUCGGCAAUGGACGAAAGUCUGACCGAGCAACGCCGCGUGAGUGAAGAAGGUUUUCGGAUCGUAAAACUCUGUUGGUAGAGAAGAACGUUGGUGAGAGUGGAAAGCUCAUCAAGUGACGGUAACUACCCAGAAAGGGACGGCUAACUACGUGCCAGCAGCCGCGGUAA
Molecule: ribosomal RNA, 513 nt
Filed under: uncultured bacterium
Lineage: Bacteria
Description: partial 16S ribosomal RNA
Rfam family: Bacterial small subunit ribosomal RNA
Source: RNAcentral